AUGCCCAUAGCUCUAAGGGAGAGCAUUUACUUUCUAAGUAAGAGGUCGUAGGUUCAAACCCUGCUGGGUGUU
Molecule: transfer RNA, 72 nt
Filed under: Topsentia ophiraphidites
Lineage: Eukaryota; Metazoa; Porifera; Demospongiae; Suberitida; Halichondriidae
Description: tRNA-Arg
Rfam family: tRNA
About the family: Transfer RNA (tRNA) molecules are approximately 80 nucleotides in length. Their secondary structure includes four short double-helical elements and three loops (D, anti-codon, and T loops).
Source: RNAcentral